GCUUAUGAGCCUGCCGGAGAAAAGGAACCUAAAUCUACUGCUACACAGAGAAGCGGAGCCUCCAUCUUGCGCUGCUCCGCGUUCUCCAUUUUGGGCCACCCAUGGGGGGGGGGGGGUCUCCGUAGAGGCCCCGAGGGAGAGUUGGGCGAGGGAAGGAAGAGAAAAUCUUCAGCGAGGGUAGUCGAAAAGAAGAGCCCUGCGGUAGAAAGCCACUCUAGGAGUAGGAGCCCACUGGUCCCGUCUCCGAGAAAACGUGGUCUGUGUCUCCAGGGUCUAGGAGUCCUAAGGAACUGGACUACUAGGCUAGGCCGGGCGCUCGACCAAUUUGUUCGCCACUCUCGGGGCAGAGGAAGAGAUACGACCGAGCGAAGUGGAGGGAAAUCGAAAUUUGGGCAAAGGAGUGUGGGGGGACCCCGCCUCACCCGCGCAUCCACUGGCUUCCUGGGCGGGGGCAGCAGCGCGAAAUUGUUGAGAAUUUAGGUUACCUCGCACCCUGCCUUCCCAACCCUCCCCCAAGAUGUUUGAAGUGCGAAAAGACCCUUUCUGUUCCUCCGACCCCUGUUAACUAAAAUGUUUGUCACCCUUAUUUUUUUAUUUGUUUCGAAUCCAGUGUACUGGACCUUUGACCGCCAAGAGCUCUUUACUCGGGGGAGAAAAACUCGGGGAGGGCCUAUCCCAUCCAAAGCACCGCUUUUUCCUUGGACAGGAAGAAGUGACCUAUUACAGUGUCUCCAUUGCUGUUAUAGAAGUUCGUAGAUUCAUAAAAUAGUGUUUGCUUAAGAAGUCUUCGUUUCUGUUCCUUUUGUGAAAUUUUGGUUAAAAUAUUUCUUAAAUAUUAAACUACAUUUCAGUUAGAAGAAAAGGAAUAAAACGUAUUAAUAACAAAACA
Molecule: long non-coding RNA, 889 nt
Filed under: Piliocolobus tephrosceles (Ugandan red Colobus)
Lineage: Eukaryota; Metazoa; Chordata; Mammalia; Primates; Cercopithecidae
Description: lncRNA (ENSPTEG00000023008.1)
Source: RNAcentral